Molecule: ribosomal RNA, 225 nt
Filed under: Smeringopina kala
Lineage: Eukaryota; Metazoa; Arthropoda; Arachnida; Araneae; Pholcidae
Description: partial 18S ribosomal RNA
Rfam family: Eukaryotic small subunit ribosomal RNA
Source: RNAcentral
ACGUGUGCUUCCCUGAUCCGAGAGGACCGGGUAAACCGUUGAGCACCCUUCGUGACGGGGAUAGGGGCUUGUAAUUCUUGCCCUUGAACGAGGAAUUCCUAGUAAGCGCGAGUCAUCACCUCGUGCUGAUUUCGUCCCUGCUCUUUGUACUCACCGCCCGUCGCUAGUACCGAUCGAACGAUUCAGUGAGGUCCUCGGACUGGAGCUCGGAGCAGUCCCAGCGGC